This 1343-nucleotide long non-coding RNA is filed under the name Cicer arietinum (chickpea). RNAcentral's name for it is "long non-coding RNA (CARI_LNC000364)". Lineage: Eukaryota; Viridiplantae; Streptophyta; Magnoliopsida; Fabales; Fabaceae. The record is from RNAcentral.
UGAUGAACCGGUCCGCGAGUCAUGAAUCAUCGCUAAGCCACCAGUCUGAGGCGGUAAAUGCGGCGGCGGUGGAUGGAGAGAGUAAAGAGAGUGAUGAAAGUAUGGCUUCGGUUGAAACGGCUGAGACUUCGAUGAACUUAUUUAGAGAUGAACCGGAGUCAACCAGAGAUUUGAAACGGGUGGACCGAACCGGUGAAAGUGGAGAGGAAAAUGUUGGUUUAGAAUUGACUCUUGGGUUUGAACCGGUUUCACGUGUUCAUCACGUGGUUCCUGUGAAGAAAAGAAGAGUUGAAUUGAAAGAUUGUGGUGGCGGCUCAUGGAAGAUUGAGCUGGGGCUUCCAUAAACGGCUUAAGGGGCUUUGUGUUCCGGUUCAGUUUUGACUUAAUCGGCUUUCUAUCAUUUGUACAAGUGAAGAGAUCAUCAGAACCGUUUCUUGUUUAGUUUUUUUUUUUUUUUUUUUAUUUACUUUUUUUAAUUACCUUUUAACUUUUUUGGGGGGCAUUUUGGGUUAAUUAACUCUUUUUUUUCUCUUUCUAUUUUAAGAAAAUGUGAAUGUGGUGAUGUCUAAACUACAAACAUGGGAACUAUGCGUCUCUAUACUAAAUUAAACACAAAUUUUAAAAAUACAGAUUUAAUUUAUUUUUAAUAGUAAAUUACUUAGCCGAAACUUCGUAGACAAAUUAAAUGAAAAUAAAGUUAUUGAUUUUUAUUUUUCAUUUUUUUAAUUGCAGCGAUUUUUCGUUCAUUGUUGUACGAAGCAUGUGGUCGAAUAGUGAACCCGAUUUACGGUUCAGUUGGUUUAUUAUGGUCUGGGAGCUGGCAACUUUGUCAAGCCGCUGUGGAAGCCGUUUUGAAAGGCGCGCCGAUUACGCCAAUAACUUCGGAAGCAGCUGCUAAUGGGCGGGGUCCACCUCUCAAGGCGUAUGACAUACGCCACGUGUCGAAAGAAGAGAACUCCGCCGUUUCGAACGAAACUCAGCAGCGAGUCAAGACUCGGUCUCGUGUGAAGCGAUCGAACUUAGCCAAGCCGAAGUUAACAACUGAUAAUGAGGAAAAAAGUAGCAAUAACAAAGGAAUUGAAUCCGGUUCUGUUGAACCGGUUGAAGAAGUGAUGAACCGGUCCGCGAGUCAUGAAUCAUCGCUAAGCCACCAGUCUGAGGCGGUAAAUGCGGCGGCGGUGGAUGGAGAGAGUAAAGAGAGUGAUGAAAGUAUGGCUUCGGUUGAAACGGCUGAGACUUCGAUGAACUUAUUUAGAGAUGAACCGGAGUCAACCAGAGAUUUGAAACGGGUGGACCGAACCGGUGAAAGUGGAGAGGAAAAUGUUGGUUUAGAAUUGACUCUU